Molecule: ribosomal RNA, 513 nt
Filed under: uncultured bacterium
Lineage: Bacteria
Description: partial 16S ribosomal RNA
Rfam family: Bacterial small subunit ribosomal RNA
Source: RNAcentral
AUUGAACGCUGGCGGCAUGCCUAACACAUGCAAGUCGAACGGCAGCACAGUAAAGAUUUCGGUCUUUAUGGGUGGCGAGUGGCGGACGGGUGAGUAAUGCGUAGGAAUCUGUCCUGGAGAGUAGGAUAACCCGAGGAAACUCGGGCUAAUACUGCAUGAUAUCGAGAGAUCAAAGGCAGGGGACCCUUCGGGGCCUUGCGCUCUAGGAUGAGCCUACGUCGGAUUAGCUAGUUGGUGGGGUAAAGGCCUACCAAGGCGACGAUCCGUAGCUGGUCUGAGAGGAUGACUAGCCACACUGGGACUGAGACACGGCCCAGACUCCUACGGGAGGCAGCAGUGGGGAAUCUUGGACAAUGGGGGAAACCCUGAUCCAGCGAUGCCGCGUGUGUGAAGAAGGCCUUCGGGUUGUAAAGCACUUUAGUUGGGGAAGAAAAGUAAUGAGUGAAUAACUGAUUGCUCUGACGGUACCCAAAGAAUAAGCACCGGCUAACUCUGUGCCAGCCGCCGCAGUAA